This 377-nucleotide long non-coding RNA is filed under the name Homo sapiens (human). RNAcentral describes it as "non-protein coding lnc-TOMM70-4:5". The record is from RNAcentral. Lineage: Eukaryota; Metazoa; Chordata; Mammalia; Primates; Hominidae.
AGUGCGCCUGUAACACCAGGACGGACCAACGAGAAAUGGUUAAUUGCAACACAGUCCGGAAAAAGCAUGCCUCGAAAGGCAAAGGGCAAAAGGGAACGGCCUAAGUCGAGGUGGUGUGCUGGUGAAUGUCUUAACAACCAGACUUUUCAGGGAGGAAAGCCCUGAUUUGUAGCGUUUGCUGAUUCUCCGCAAAAGGACUGAACUUCUAGCUGGUUGAAUCACCUCUGUGGCCAGGUUAACACCGUAUGCUGAUGGGCUUGAGCUAUUUGAACAAGUCUCUGUGACGGGGACGGAAUGACCCUGGUUGGUUUAGGCACGCGAGACGUCUGUAAAAUCUGACUACAAGGCUGCUAGGCCAACGGGAAAGAUGCUGAGGG